This 472-nucleotide ribosomal RNA is filed under the name uncultured bacterium. Its description in RNAcentral is "bacterial SSU rRNA". It matches the Rfam family "Bacterial small subunit ribosomal RNA", at positions 328 to 793 of the family's 1533-position model. The record is from RNAcentral.
GGAGAGCACUCCUACGGGAGGCAGCAGUGGGGAAUAUUGCACAAUGGGCGCAAGCCUGAUGCAGCCAUGCCGCGUGUAUGAAGAAGGCCUUCGGGUUGUAAAGUACUUUCAGCAGUGAGGAAGGUGGGUAUGUUAAUAGCAUACUCAUUUGACGUUAGCUGCAGAAGAAGCACCGGCUAACUCCGUGCCAGCAGCCGCGGUAAUACGGAGGGUGCGAGCGUUAAUCGGAAUUACUGGGCGUAAAGCGCAUGCAGGUGGUUUGUUAAGUCAGAUGUGAAAGCCCGGGGCUCAACCUCGGAAUUGCAUUUGAAACUGGCAAACUAGAGUACUGUAGAGGGGGUAGAAUUUCAGGUGUAGCGGUGAAAUGCGUAGAGAUCUGAAGGAAUACCGGUGGCGAAGGCGGCCCCCUGGACAGAUACUGACACUCAGAUGCGAAAGCGUGGGGAGCAAACAGGAUUAGAUACCCUGGUAG